UUUCUACUGCAGGCAUGUCUUGAAAGACGCUGUAAGCGCUUUUUCCAUGGGUGUCACGAAUUCGCCCAAGUUUAGCACCGGCAGCCGAGCCUACAAGAACACCAGGCACAUCAAACGUGAUAAAUCCCAACGCCGCACCAGCUAACGUACCUACGAUGGUCCAAAAGGCAUUGGCAAUGCCUCUGGUCGAUGUCUCAUUCAUCAUUUCGUUGAACACCUGCUCGAAUUGCGAAUCGGAAAAGGAUUGGCGAAAUCCAAAACUUGGCCCUCCUUGUUGACUCUGACUUUGGGGUUGAGGGUUUGUGCGGGAAAAAAACGAUUGUCUUGGUUUAGCAGAGGAAGAGGCACUUUCACGAUCGUACUGAGCUCGUCGAGAAUUGUCACUUAAGACGUAGUAUGCUUCGUUCACCAGCUGAAAUUGUUCAGUGGCUCGAGCACGAGCACUGGGCGAUACUCUAUCAGGGUGCGUCUCCAGAGCAGCCUUUUUAUACGCAUAUUUUAUCUCCUCAGCACUGGCUUUGGGGGUGAUGUUGAGAAUGGCAUAGUAGUCUUUGAACAUGGUAGUUGGAGGAAUACGUAUACCACACGAUUUCAGCAAUAUGAGCCUCUCAAAUAUCGCAGUGGUGCAAAAUUCGGUGUGCUGAAUAACGAACUUAAUAAACGUGGUAUAUCGCAUAGGGACGGGUUAUACCACGUUAUAUAGAUACCGAUAGGUUAAUUUGUGUUAUGCUAAUUAGCGAUGUUAUGUGCGAUAUCUUAUCGGAGUGUUGGAUAGAAAGAAGACAAAGUAUGGGAAUUUCUUUGGCAAAUAGGAUUGAAAGGAAGCUCAAGUCAAAUUUUUCACUUCCGGAUGUUUAUUUAUAUCUUUUGGAUUUAGAGUCCUUGAUAAAGAUGACUUUGAAUAAACAACAAAAGAACGGUUAAAAAUACCUUUUUUAACCCAAUUUUUGUCUUUCCCGCUAUAGCGAUAUUUCUUGCAUUUGUAUG
Molecule: non-coding RNA, 987 nt
Organism: Schizosaccharomyces pombe (fission yeast)
Lineage: Eukaryota; Fungi; Ascomycota; Schizosaccharomycetes; Schizosaccharomycetales; Schizosaccharomycetaceae
Source: the annotation of a GenBank genome assembly